Sinocyclocheilus rhinocerous is the source of this 841-nucleotide long non-coding RNA. RefSeq lists it as uncharacterized. The record is from RefSeq and is a predicted model, not a curated record. Lineage: Eukaryota; Metazoa; Chordata; Actinopteri; Cypriniformes; Cyprinidae. The transcript is spliced from 3 exons.
UAAAAUAAACUAUUGAGAUCUCAUGUAUAAUUGUCUGAGUUUUCUAAUAAUUUCUCCUUUACAUUUUCUGCUCAUUUUCUUCGCUGGUCUGUUCUAACUUGACACACACUGUUCUCUCGGUUCUUGUCGUUUUGUCUGUAAUUCUGUCUUUACACCUUUAUCUACUCUGAUCCCUCUCUCACUGUUUGUGUACUCAGAGCGUCUGUAUCAUGUUGCUGAGAUCUGGCUCGUUAAUUGCUCGGUAAUUACAGUGCUUCUGUUGAUCUGUUCAUUUCACAGCGCUGCUACAAACCUUUUAGGCUGUCUGCUGGAGCUCCGACUCUAUUGGAUUUGGCUCAUGUGCCUGUCUAACGCUUUGAGAGCUGCUCUAAUGUGCUGUCAGCCGUUCCACAUGCACUUUCUCUGUCGUGAUGCACUUGCCUGUCUGGACAACUGUUGCUGAUGGGAUCUGAUGUCACGUACGCUCGAAGUGUUGACGGGCUCCGACCAAAGUAACUGAGAACCUGCUGGUAUCAUCCUCGUCUUCAAUGGCAGCCACAGCCUCUGGACUCCAAACUCUGAACGCUGCUUAUCUUUACAGCCGCUAAUACUGGCGAAGAACCCGGUGAUGGGACCAGCCCGUGUUAACCAUUAACACCCCAACUUGCACCCUUUUUCAUCCUGGUGGUGUAUCAUGACCUAGAUGAGGAGAACGACGGAGAAGAAGCGCUAUGGUAAUGCAAAGAGACCUUCAGCGUCUGUCCCUGUCGUUUAAAUUACAAGAGCGAGAUUAAUUUUCCAUUUGCGGACCUCUGAAAGAUGGCAACAUCUUCCCAAAAACAUUCCGCUGAUAAAUGAAAAG